This 505-nucleotide ribosomal RNA is filed under the name uncultured bacterium. RNAcentral describes it as "bacterial SSU rRNA". It matches the Rfam family "Bacterial small subunit ribosomal RNA", at positions 28 to 525 of the family's 1533-position model. The record is from RNAcentral.
GAUGAACGCUGGCGGCGUGGAUUAGGCAUGCAAGUCGAACGGUAUCAUCCUUUCGGGGGUGAGAGAGUGGCGAACUGGUGAGUAACACGUAGGUUAUCUACCCUCAAGACGGGGACAACCCAGGGAAACUUGGGCUAAUACCGGAUGUGAGCAACUUUUAGUUGUUUGAAAGGUGGCGUAAGCUGUCGCUUGGGGAUGAGCCUGCGUCCUAUUAGUUAGUUGGUGAGGUAACGGCUCACCUAGGCAAUGAUAGGUAGGCGGCCUUAACGGGUGGUCGCCCACACUGGGAUUGAGAUACGGCCCAGACUCCUACGGGAGGCAGCAGUCGAGAAUAGUCUACAAUGGUCGGAAGACUGAUAGUGCGACGCCGCGUGAACGAUGAAUCCCUUCGGGGUGUAAAGUUCUUUUAUAUGUGAGCAGUGCUUCUUAUAUUAACAGUAUGGGGAGAGAGAUAUUAGCAUAUGAAUAAGCAACGGCUAACUCCGUGCCAGCAGCCGCGGUAAAA